GAUUCACCGUUGUCAGAAACCCCGCCAGGCCCUUUCCUUCACAGCCAGCCACUAACCCAUGAUUCACCCCAGCCACGUCACCGCUUCCAUGCCACACCUCUGCCAUCGCAACAGGGGAACAAUCAGUUGCUGCGUGACAUGGGCAUCAGCACCGUCAUUGCUCUCCUUGGCCAGCUGAGGGAGGAAAACUGACUGCUUACUAUUUUUCAGAUUCACCGUCUUCAGAAACCCCGCCAGGCCCUUUCCUUCACAGCCAGCCACUAACCCAUGAUUCACCCCAGCCACGUCACA
Neoarius graeffei (lesser salmon catfish) is the source of this 291-nucleotide long non-coding RNA. RefSeq lists it as uncharacterized. The record is from RefSeq and is a predicted model, not a curated record. NCBI's taxonomy places the organism in Eukaryota, Metazoa, Chordata, Actinopteri, Siluriformes, Ariidae. The transcript has 5 exons.